ACUGAGAUGGAGCAGAGCAGCACUGGGAAUGGGGAUUCCGCUCAAGCUGCUCCAGGCUGGCUCUCCAGCUCCACAUUUUGGGUGUGAAAACAACAAAAAAAAAAAACAUCCCAAGGCUCCACAUUUUGGGUGUAAAAAUAACAAAAAACCCAUCCCAAGGUUCCACGAUUUGGGUGUGAAAACAAAAUAAAAAAAGCCAUCCCAAGGCUCCACAUUUUGGGUGUAAAAACAACAAAAAAACCCAUCCCAAGGUUCCACGAUUUGGGUGUGAAAAUAACAAAAAACCCAUCCCAAGGCCCCCCCAGUGGUUGAACCCUCAGUGCUUCCCCUGGGGGAGGAGGUGGGAAACCAUCAGAGCUCAAGGAGAAAGCAGCAAAAAAUCAACCCCAAAGCUGCACUGCGGCUUCACAGUUCAAAAUAAAGAGAAAAAAUUCAAGUCUAACUGGGAUUCCUGUGCCCCAAAAUGCCGAAAUCCUCGCUCUGGUGGUUUCCUGUUCAAAGCUCAGGGAGGGGAAUGGCCCAAGUUGGGGACAGCACAGAGGGGCUGGGGCUGCCCGGCGGCACAAAACCCAACAAAUGCACCAAAACCAACCCGGAACAGCAGAAAUGUGCGGAGCUGCGUGCCCUGCCCUUGCCUGAGGCUCGGCUGCCACCUGGGGACACUCGGACAGCCCGGGCUCAUGGGUUUGCAAAUGAGGUAAAUUAAUACUGAAUAAACCCCCAGCGGGCUGCGAGGGGAGAGAGCCG
Molecule: long non-coding RNA, 747 nt
Filed under: Zonotrichia albicollis (white-throated sparrow)
Lineage: Eukaryota; Metazoa; Chordata; Aves; Passeriformes; Passerellidae
Description: lncRNA (ENSZALG00000000937.1)
Source: RNAcentral